GAUGAAGAACGUAGCAAAGUGCGAUAACUAGUGUGAAUUGCAUAUUCAGUGAAUCAUCGAGUCUUUGAACGCAUCUUGCGCUCAAUGGUAUUCCAUUGAGCACGCCUGUUUCAGUAUCAAAAACACCCCACAUUCAACAUUUUUUUGUUGAAUGGAUAUGAGAGUCUUUCGGUAUAUUUUAUUAUACUGAUCUCUUUAAAAUAAUUAGGCCUGAACUAUUGUUCUUUCUGCCUGAACAUUUUUUUAAUAUAAAGGAAUGCUCUAGUAAAAAAAGACUAUCUUUGGGGGCCUCCCAAAUAAAUCAUUCUUAAAUUUGAUCUGAAAUCAGGCGGGAUUACCCGCUGAACUUAAGCAUAUCAUAAGCGGGGA
RNAcentral lists this unclassified non-coding RNA (369 nucleotides) under soil metagenome. RNAcentral's name for it is "partial contains 5.8S ribosomal RNA, internal transcribed spacer 2, and large subunit ribosomal RNA". The stretch from base 1 to 119 matches the Rfam family "5.8S ribosomal RNA", at positions 35 to 154 of the family's 154-position model. The record is from RNAcentral.